UACGUAGGCAGCAAGCGUUGUUCGGAAUUACUGGGCGUAAAGGGUGCGUAGGUGGUUUCUUAAGUCAGAGGUGAAAGGCUACGGCUCAACCGUAGUAAGCCUUUGAAACUGGGAAACUUGAGUGCAGGAGAGGAGAGUGGAAUUCCUAGUGUAGCGGUGAAAUGCGUAGAUAUUAGGAGGAACACCAGUUGCGAAGGCGGCUCUCUGGACUGUAACUGACACUGAGGCACGAAAGCGUGGGGAUCAAACAGG
RNAcentral lists this ribosomal RNA (252 nucleotides) under uncultured bacterium. Its description in RNAcentral is "partial 16S ribosomal RNA". It matches the Rfam family "Bacterial small subunit ribosomal RNA", at positions 524 to 776 of the family's 1533-position model. The record is from RNAcentral.